AUUGAACGCUGGCGGCGUGCCUAACACAUGCAAGUCGAGCGGUAACAGGUGUAGCAAUACAUGCUGACGAGCGGCGGACGGGUGAGUAACGCUUGGGAAUCUGCCUAUUAGUGGGGGACAACCCGGGGAAACUCGGGCUAAUACCGCAUACGCACUACGGUGGAAAGCCGGGGACCGCAAGGCCUGGCGCUAACAGAUGAGCCCAAGUCGGAUUAGCUAGUUGGUAGGGUAACGGCCUACCAAGGCGACGAUCCGUAACUGGUCUGAGAGGACGACCAGUCACACCGGAACUGAGACACGGUCCGGACUCCUACGGGAGGCAGCAGUGGGGAAUAUUGGACAAUGGGCGAAAGCCUGAUCCAGCGACGCCGCGUGGGUGAAGAAGGCCUGCGGGUUGUAAAGCCCUUUCAGUGGGGAAGAAAAGCCUCGAGCUAACACCUCGGGGUCUUGACGUAACCCAUAGAAGAAGCACCGGCUAACUCUGUGCCAGCAGCCGCCGUAAG
RNAcentral lists this ribosomal RNA (503 nucleotides) under uncultured bacterium. RNAcentral's name for it is "bacterial SSU rRNA". It matches the Rfam family "Bacterial small subunit ribosomal RNA", at positions 29 to 524 of the family's 1533-position model. The record is from RNAcentral.